This is a long non-coding RNA of Oncorhynchus tshawytscha (Chinook salmon), 702 nucleotides long. NCBI's taxonomy places the organism in Eukaryota, Metazoa, Chordata, Actinopteri, Salmoniformes, Salmonidae. The record is from Ensembl.
CUUAAAGCCAACUCUACGCACCCCGUGGAUCUCCGAGGGCACUAAGAAAACAACUGUGAUGUUCUAUGCCUGGUCACAAAUUAAGAAGAAGAGGGAGUGUUUAAUGAGGCCUGAUGCGCUGUACCACCAUCUGUAUGAGGUGUUUGACUACACAGACCCAGUGAUCCUGUGGGCAGCCUAUGGACCACAGAGCAAGACCAAAGAAUUCUACAUCCUUCUUAGGGGUCGGAUUCUGUCUUUUAUCCAACAAAUGUUCAGCCUGGACAGAAAGAAGUAUGAAUCUCCUGAGUCACUGGCUGUGAAGGUCCUCUCUAAUUGGAAAAGGCUGGUCCGCUUCCUGCAGUUCUUCCUGGAUGAGAAUAAGUAUUCAUUACUUAUUGACCACAGAUCUGCUUCUGCAGCCUGACGUUGUGCUCCUGGAGCUGACCAAUCUUCUCGAUGAGCUGGCAGAUGUGCUCCAGGUAGCCCAGUCCGGAGCCCAGAGGGUUGGAGCUGGCUUGGUGGACCUGAAGAAUCAAAGAGAGGAGGGUUUGGUGAGCUUAGUGAGGUCAUAGGUCUCUGUAGGGCUGCUAAUUUAACUUUUGCGGUUGAGAACUAGAUGUGAAAUGUACAGAUUGUGUUUCAAGACACUACCACAUGUUCUCUGAGGAAAGGUUGUAAGAAUGUGUUUUUUGUAUAGUUCCCUAUCUUUACAAUGGGUAA